UACGAAGGGGGCGAGCGUUGUUCUGAAUUACUGGGCGUAAAGGGCGCGCAGGCGGCUCUGAAAGUCAGAUGUGAAAGCCCCGGGCUUAACCUGGGAAUUGCAUUUGAUACUCUGGAGCUUGAGUACGGGAGAGGAGAGUGGAAUUCCCAGUGUAGAGGUGAAAUUCGUAGAUAUUGGGAAGAACACCGGUGGCGAAGGCGGCUCUCUGGCCCGGUACUGACGCUGAGGUGCGAAAGCGUGGGGAGCAAACAGG
This 253-nucleotide ribosomal RNA is filed under the name uncultured bacterium. Its description in RNAcentral is "partial 16S ribosomal RNA". It matches the Rfam family "Bacterial small subunit ribosomal RNA", at positions 524 to 776 of the family's 1533-position model. The record is from RNAcentral.